GAUGAACGCUAGCUACAGGCUUAACACAUGCAAGUCGAGGGGCAGCAUGACAGGAUUUCGGUCCUGUUGAUGGCGACCGGCGGAUGGGUGCGUAACGCGUAUCCAACCUGCCCCCGUCCCGGGUAUAGCCGUGGGAAACCGCGAUUAACACCCGAUGGUGCGUGACGGCCGCAUGACGGUCACGCCAAAUGCGAAGGACGGGGAUGGGGAUGCGUUCCAUUAGGCAGUCGGCGGGGUAACGGCCCACCGAGCCCGCGAUGGAUAGGGGUUCUGAGAGGAAGGUCCCCCACACUGGCACUGAGACACGGGCCAGACUCCUACGGGAGGCAGCAGUGAGGAAUAUUGGUCAAUGGGCGCGAGCCUGAACCAGCCAAGUAGCGUGAAGGAUGACGGCCCUAUGGGUUGUAAACUUCUUUUGUUUGGGAAUAAAGUGGGGCACGCGCUGCCCCUUUGUAUGUACCUUGCGAAUAAGCAUCGGCUAAUUCCGUGCCAGCAGCCGCGGUAAUACGGAAGAUGCGAGCGUUAUCCGGAUUUAUUGGGUUUAAAGGGAGCGUAGGCGGACUGUUAAGUCAGCGGUGAAAUGUCAGGGCCCAACCCUGGCUUGCCGUUGAUACUGUCGGUCUUGAAUGCACCCAAGGGUGGUGGAAUUCGUCGUGUAGCGGUGUAAUGCUUAGAUAUGACGAAGAACUCCGAUUGCGAAGGCAGCCACCUGGAGUGUGAUUGACGCUGAGGCUCGAAAGUGCGGGUAUCAAACAGGAUUAGAUACCCUGGUAGUCCGCACAGUAAACGAUGGAUGCUCGUCAUUGGCGAUACACGGUCAGUGACCAAGCGAAAGCAUUAAGCAUCCCACCUGGGGAGUACGCCGGCAACGGUGAAACUCAAAGGAAUUGACGGGGGCCCGCACAAGCGGAGGAACAUGUGGUUUAAUUCGAUGAUACGCGAGGAACCUUACCCGGGCUUGAAUUGCAGGAGAACGAUACAGAGAUGUUGAGGCCCUUUGGGGCUCCUGUGAAGGUGCUGCAUGGUUGUCGUCAGCUCGUGCCGUGAGGUGUUGGCUUAAGUGCCAUAACGAGCGCAACCCCUUUCCUCAGUUGCCAUCGGGCGAUGCCGGGCACUCUGGGGACACUGCCUCCGUAAGGAGUGAGGAAGGUGGGGAUGACGUCAAAUCAGCACGGCCCUUACGUCCGGGGCUACACACGUGUUACAAUGGGACAUACAGCGCGUCGGCGUCCGGCAACGUGCGUCAAAUCGUGAAAGUGUCCCCCAGUUCGGAUUGGGGUCUGCAACCCGACCCCAUGAAGCUGGAUUCGCUAGUAAUCGCGCAUCAGCCAUGGCGCGGUGAAUACG
RNAcentral lists this ribosomal RNA (1347 nucleotides) under uncultured bacterium. Its description in RNAcentral is "bacterial SSU rRNA". It matches the Rfam family "Bacterial small subunit ribosomal RNA", at positions 28 to 1370 of the family's 1533-position model. The record is from RNAcentral.